This 989-nucleotide ribosomal RNA is filed under the name Heliodorus cochisensis. Its description in RNAcentral is "eukaryotic LSU rRNA". It matches the Rfam family "Eukaryotic large subunit ribosomal RNA", at positions 120 to 925 of the family's 3401-position model. The record is from RNAcentral. Lineage: Eukaryota; Metazoa; Arthropoda; Insecta; Diptera; Tachinidae.
CACUUUGUCUUAAUGGCAAAUGUGAGAUGCAGUGUAUGGAAUGUCAAAUUUCUAGUAUGAGAAAUUAACGAUUUAAGUCCUUCUUAAAUGAGGCCAUUUACCCAUAGAGGGUGCCAGGCCCGUAUAACGUUAAUGAUUAUUAGAUGGCAUUUCCAAAGAGUCGUGUUGCUUGAUAGUGCAGCACUAAGUGGGUGGUAAACUCCAUCUAAAACUAAAUAUAACCAUGAGACCGAUAGUAAACAAGUACCGUGAGGGAAAGUUGAAAAGAACUCUGAAUAGAGAGUUAAAUAGUACGUGAAACUGCUUAGAGGUUAAGCCCGAUGAACCUGAAUAUCCUAAUUAUAGAAAAUUCAUCAUUAUGAUUGUAAUAUUUAUAUAUAUUAUAAUAAUAGUGUGCAUUUUUUCUAUAAUGGACAUUGUAAUCUAUUGACAUAAAUUAAAUUUAUCAUAAGAUCAAUUACGUAAGUUUAUUCAAAUUAUUUUGCUUGCAACUUAACAUAAAAUAAAUGUUUUUGAUUUGAUAAAGUGUUGAUAGAUUUAUUACAUAUAGUGCUUGAAUAUAUUUUUUAUAUUCUAUAAUAGCAUAUUAAUUAUUAAUUUUUAUGUUUAUUUUAUGCACUCAUAUGAUUAACAAUGCGAAAGAUUCAGGAUACCUUCGGGACCCGUCUUGAAACACGGACCAAGGAGUCUAACAUAUUUGCAAGUUAUUGGGAAUAAAAACCUAAUAGCGAAAUUAACAUAACUUAAAUUAAUUGGGAUUAGUUUUUAGCCUAUUAUAGUCUAUCAAUUCAAUCCCGGGGCGUUCUAUUGUUAUGUAUAAUAAUAUUUAUAUUAUUUAUACCUCUAACUAGAGCGUACCUUGAGCAUAUAUGCUGUGACCCGAAAGAUGGUGAACUAUACUUGAUCAGGUUGAAGUCAGGGGAAACCCUGAUGGAAGACCGAAACAGUUCUGACGUGCAAAUCGAUUGUCAGAAUUGCAGUAUAGGGCG